UACGGGGGGAGCAAGCGUUGUUCGGAUUUACUGGGCGUAAAGGGCGCGUAGGCGGCCUCUGCAAGUCGACAGUGAAAUCUCCGGGCUUAACCCGGAACGGUCAGCCGAUACUGCAGGGCUAGAGUGCAGAAGGGGCAACCGGAAUUCUCGGUGUAGCGGUGAAAUGCGUAGAUAUCGAGAGGAACACCUGCGGCGAAGGCGGGUUGCUGGGCUGACACUGACGCUGAGGCGCGAAAGCUAGGGGAGCGAACGGG
Molecule: ribosomal RNA, 254 nt
Filed under: uncultured bacterium
Lineage: Bacteria
Description: partial 16S ribosomal RNA
Rfam family: Bacterial small subunit ribosomal RNA
Source: RNAcentral